AGAUUGAACGCUGGCGGCAGGCCUAACACAUGCAAGUCGAGCGGUAACACAAGGGAGCUUGCUCCUGAGGUGACGAGCGGCGGACGGGUGAGUAAUGCCUAGGUAUCUGCCCAGUCGAGGGGGAUAACAGUUGGAAACGACUGCUAAUACCGCAUACGCCCUACGGGGGAAAGGAGGGGACCUUCGGGCCUUCCGCGAUUGGAUGAACCUAGGUGGGAUUAGCUAGUUGGUGAGGUAAUGGCUCACCAAGGCGACGAUCCCUAGCUGGUCUGAGAGGAUGAUCAGCCACACUGGAACUGAGACACGGUCCAGACUCCUACGGGAGGCAGCAGUGGGGAAUAUUGCACAAUGGGCGAAAGCCUGAUGCAGCCAUGCCGCGUGUGUGAAGAAGGCCUUCGGGUUGUAAAGCACUUUCAGCGAGGAGGAAAGGUUAAGUCUUAAUACGGCUUAGCUGUGACGUUACUCGCAGAAGAAGCACCGGCUAACUUCGUGCC
This 494-nucleotide ribosomal RNA is filed under the name Shewanella gelidimarina. Its description in RNAcentral is "bacterial SSU rRNA". It matches the Rfam family "Bacterial small subunit ribosomal RNA", at positions 26 to 509 of the family's 1533-position model. RNAcentral also lists the same sequence under 1 other name. The record is from RNAcentral. Lineage: Bacteria; Pseudomonadati; Pseudomonadota; Gammaproteobacteria; Alteromonadales; Shewanellaceae.